ACCAUUCUUCAUUUCUUUUUUAUAAGUCCGACGAAGCCAUUGUCACCAUUGGUUGGCUUUGCCCUCUAGGUGGAAAGAAGAUAGCUGGACUUUCUACUCUUCGGGAAUUCCUUGAUACUCAAAAAAUUGCAUGACGCGAUUGAGCCAUUUGGUCAGGUCAUCUCCGGAGAAGAUAGGAAAUUCCAGCUUGGCGAGUUUGGAGAAGAAUAGUUGUCAGCCACCUUUAUUUCACUCAGCUCCUUCAUCGCAGUUCGGUUGUGUUCCUCCAUUUUGGUUUGGGGUGUUGCAACAUGAGCCUUCACGGUUGAUUAACAGAGUCUUUAUUAAUUGUUGGUAUCCUCCAUUUGGUGGAGUUCAUCAGCGACUCCAAGCUCCAUUCGGUUGAAGCUGUCCUGCAGUCCUCUGAGGCUUUCUUUCAAAUUCUCAAUCAUUUCUUUGUGAGACAUGACUCUGAUACCAAAAUUAUGGAUGACCAGAAUAACGCAAGAAUGAUUGCACGAAAGUUUCUAUUUUUGGGAUAGUAAAGCCCACACUUUUCUU
Molecule: long non-coding RNA, 540 nt
Filed under: Carica papaya (papaya)
Lineage: Eukaryota; Viridiplantae; Streptophyta; Magnoliopsida; Brassicales; Caricaceae
Description: long non-coding RNA (CPAP_LNC013991)
Source: RNAcentral